RNAcentral lists this ribosomal RNA (253 nucleotides) under uncultured bacterium. RNAcentral's name for it is "partial 16S ribosomal RNA". It matches the Rfam family "Bacterial small subunit ribosomal RNA", at positions 524 to 776 of the family's 1533-position model. The record is from RNAcentral.
UACGUAGGGUCCGAGCGUUGUCCGGAAUUAUUGGGCGUAAAGAGCUUGUAGGCGGUUUGUCGCGUCUGCUGUGAAAGUCCGGGGCUCAACUCCGGAUCUGCGGUGGGUACGGGCAGACUAGAGUGAUGUAGGGGAGACUGGAAUUCCUGGUGUAGCGGUGAAAUGCGCAGAUAUCAGGAGGAACACCGAUGGCGAAGGCAGGUCUCUGGGCAUUAACUGACGCUGAGGAGCGAAAGCAUGGGGAGCGAACAGG